Molecule: ribosomal RNA, 253 nt
Filed under: uncultured bacterium
Lineage: Bacteria
Description: partial 16S ribosomal RNA
Rfam family: Bacterial small subunit ribosomal RNA
Source: RNAcentral
UACGAAGGGGGCUAGCGUUGUUCGUAAUUACUGGGCGUAAAGCGUGCGCAGGCGGCCAUCCAAGUCCGUGGUGAAAGCCCGGAGCUCAACUCCGGAAUUGCCAUUGAAACUGUUUGGCUCGAGUACGAGAGAGGUGAGUGGAAUUCCCAGUGUAGAGGUGAAAUUCGUAGAUAUUCGGAAGAACACCAGUGGCGAAGGCGGCUCACUGGACCGGUAUUGACGCUGAGGUGCGAAAGCGUGGGGAGCAAACAGG